GGCGAACGGGUGAGUAACGCGUGAGCAAUCUACCUUAGUUACAGGGAUAGCCCGAGGAAACUCGGAUUAAUACCUGAUAUUCUUUAUUUCUCGCAUGAGAAUAAAAGGAAAGGUCAGCCGAACUAAGAUGAGCUCGCGUUCUAUCAGCUAGUUGGUGAGGUAAAAGCUCACCAAGGCUACGACGGAUAGCUGGUCUGAGAGGACGAUCAGCCACACUGGGACUGAGACACGGCCCAGACUCCUACGGGAGGCUGCAGCAGGGAAUAUUGUGCAAUGAACGAAAGUUUGACACAGCGACACCGCGUGUGGGAUGACGGAUCUAGGUUUGUAAACCACUUUCAGGAGGGAAGAAAAUGACGGUACCUCCAUAAGAAGCCCCGGCCAACUACGUGCCAGCAGCCGCGGUAAUACGUAGGGGGCGAGCGUUGUCCGGAUUUAUUGGGCGUAAAGAGCUCGUAGGCGGUUCAACAAGUCGGUCGUGAAAGUUCAGGGCUCAACCCUGAAAUGUCGAUCGAUACUGUUGUGACUAGGAUACGGUAGAGGUGAGUGGAAUUCCGAGUGUAGCGGUGAAAUGCGUAGAUAUUCGGAGGAACACCAAUAGCGAAGGCAGCUCACUGGGCCGCUAUCGACGCUGAGGAGCGAAAGCUAGGGGAGCAAACAGGAUUAGAUACCCUGGUAGUCCUAGCUGUAAACGAUGGAUACUAGACGUAGGAACUGGAUUGACGGUUUCUGUGUCGCAGCUAACGCGUUAAGUAUCCC
This 759-nucleotide ribosomal RNA is filed under the name uncultured Actinomycetes bacterium. RNAcentral's name for it is "bacterial SSU rRNA". It matches the Rfam family "Bacterial small subunit ribosomal RNA", at positions 97 to 870 of the family's 1533-position model. The record is from RNAcentral. Lineage: Bacteria; Bacillati; Actinomycetota; Actinomycetes.